RNAcentral lists this non-coding RNA (142 nucleotides) under Pseudo-nitzschia fraudulenta. The record is from RNAcentral. Lineage: Eukaryota; Bacillariophyta; Bacillariophyceae; Bacillariales; Bacillariaceae.
ACCGGUUCAAUUGAAACGGAGAACCCGCUUCCAAAAACGGAUCUAUUGGUCCAGCGCUUGAAUGAUUCGAUCACAGCGGCGUUGAAAGAGUCGAAGACAUGGGAAACCGAUGCAUCUACGGAUGGCGAACAACAGGUGCCUG